AUUGAACGCUGGCGGCAGGCCUAACACAUGCAAGUCGAACGAGUGGCGGACGGGUGAGUAAUGUAUGGGAAACUGCCCGAUGGAGGGGGAUAACUACUGGAACCGGUAGCUAAUACCGCAUACCAUCGGAUGUGCCCAGAUGGGAUUAGCUAGUAGGUGGGGUAAAGGCUCACCCAGGCGACGAUCCCUAGCUGGCCUGAGAGGAGGACCAGCAACACUGGAACUGAGAAACGGUCCAGACUCCUACGGGAGGCAGCAGUGGGGAAUAUUGGACAAGGGGCGCAAGCCUGAUGCGGCCAUGCCGCGUGGAUGAAGAAGGCCUUCGGGUUGUAAAGUACUUUCAGCGGGGAGGCGUUACCCGCAGAAGAAGCACCGGCUAACUCCGUGCCAGCAGCCGCGGUAAUUC
RNAcentral lists this ribosomal RNA (406 nucleotides) under uncultured bacterium. RNAcentral's name for it is "partial 16S ribosomal RNA". It matches the Rfam family "Bacterial small subunit ribosomal RNA", at positions 29 to 526 of the family's 1533-position model. The record is from RNAcentral.